RNAcentral lists this transfer RNA (70 nucleotides) under Pristionchus pacificus. It matches the Rfam family "tRNA". From Rfam's summary of the family: Transfer RNA (tRNA) molecules are approximately 80 nucleotides in length. Their secondary structure includes four short double-helical elements and three loops (D, anti-codon, and T loops). The record is from Rfam by way of RNAcentral. Lineage: Eukaryota; Metazoa; Nematoda; Chromadorea; Rhabditida; Neodiplogasteridae.
CCAACCAUAGCUCAAUGAGCGUGGAGUACUGUAGAUCCUUAGGUAACUGGUUCGAAUCCGGUUGGUUGGA